GUAGCAAUACACGAGUGGCGCACGGGUGAGUAACGCGUGGGAACCUGCCCAGUGGUAGGGAAUAACUGCGGGAAACUGCAGCUAAUACCCUAUACGCCCUACGGGGGAAAGUUUUUCGCCAUUGGAGGGGCCCGCGUCGGAUUAGCUAGUUGGUGAGGUAAGAGCUUACCAAGGCGACGAUCCGUAGCUGGUCUGAGAGGAUGAUCAGCCACACUGGGACUGAGACACGGCCCAGACUCCUACGGGAGGCAGCAGUGGGGAAUAUUGGACAAUGGGGGAAACCCUGAUCCAGCAAUGCCGCGUGAGUGAUGAAGGCCUUAGGG
This 323-nucleotide ribosomal RNA is filed under the name uncultured bacterium. RNAcentral describes it as "bacterial SSU rRNA". It matches the Rfam family "Bacterial small subunit ribosomal RNA", at positions 72 to 422 of the family's 1533-position model. The record is from RNAcentral.